GACGAACGCUGGCGGCGUGCCUAACACAUGCAAGUCGAGCGAUGAAGUUUCCUUCGGGAAACGGAUUAGCGGCGGACGGGUGAGUAACACGUGGGUAACCUGCCUUGUAGAGGGGAAUAGCCUUCCGAAAGGAAGAUUAAUACCGCAUAAUAUUGUACUUUCGCAUGAAAGAACAACUAAAGGAGCAAUCCGCUACAAGAUGGACCCGCGGCGCAUUAGCUAGUUGGUAAGGUAAUGGCUUACCAAGGCGACGAUGCGUAGCCGACCUGAGAGGGUGAUCGGCCACAUUGGGACUGAGACACGGCCCAG
This 309-nucleotide ribosomal RNA is filed under the name uncultured bacterium. RNAcentral describes it as "bacterial SSU rRNA". It matches the Rfam family "Bacterial small subunit ribosomal RNA", at positions 28 to 334 of the family's 1533-position model. The record is from RNAcentral.